GACGAACGCUGGCGGCGUGCUUAACACAUGCAAGUCGAACGGAAAGGCCCUGCUUUUGUGGGGUGCUCGAGUGGCGAACGGGUGAGUAACACGUGAGUAACCUGCCCUUGACUUUGGGAUGACUUCAGGAAACUGGGGCUAAUACCGGAUAGGAGCUCCUGCUGCAUGGUGGGGGUUGGAAAGUUUCGGCGGUUGGGGAUGGACUCGCGGCUUAUCAGCUUGUUGGUGGGGUAGUGGCUUACCAAGGCUUUGACGGGUAGCCGGCCUGAGAGGGUGACCGGCCACAUUGGGACUGAGAUACGGCCCAGACUCCUACGGGAGGCAGCAGUGGGGAAUAUUGCACAAUGGGCGGGAGCCUGAUGCAGCAACGCCGCGUGCGGGAUGACGGCCUUCAGGUUGUAAACCGCUUUCGCCUGUGACGAAGCGUGAGUGACGGUAAUGGGUAAAGAAGCACCGGCUAACUACGUG
Molecule: ribosomal RNA, 468 nt
Filed under: uncultured bacterium
Lineage: Bacteria
Description: partial 16S ribosomal RNA
Rfam family: Bacterial small subunit ribosomal RNA
Source: RNAcentral